This 255-nucleotide long non-coding RNA is filed under the name Erythranthe guttata (spotted monkey flower). RNAcentral's name for it is "long non-coding RNA (EGUT_LNC003170)". The record is from RNAcentral. Lineage: Eukaryota; Viridiplantae; Streptophyta; Magnoliopsida; Lamiales; Phrymaceae.
GGUGCAAAUUGAAGAAUUGGCAACUUUUGGGGUGAAAACUGCAAAUUCAGAGAAAAAGUGGGCCAAAAGUGAAAAAAUCAGAAAUCUGGAGAAUCAAAGACCGCACGGCCGUGCGGAUUUUAGUUCAAAAUCUCACACGGCCGUCCGGAUGGGCGUGAUGGCGCAGUGAAGGAAUUUUAAUUACACAAGGAAACCCGCCCUAUUAUAGUUUUGCACCCUAUUUAAAGGCCACAAGCACACAAUUAGACGGAUCUU